This 554-nucleotide ribosomal RNA is filed under the name Termitomyces sp. Group4. Its description in RNAcentral is "eukaryotic LSU rRNA". It matches the Rfam family "Eukaryotic large subunit ribosomal RNA", at positions 1 to 553 of the family's 3401-position model. The record is from RNAcentral. Lineage: Eukaryota; Fungi; Basidiomycota; Agaricomycetes; Agaricales; Lyophyllaceae.
UUGACCUCAAAUCAGGUAGGACUACCCGCUGAACUUAAGCAUAUCAAUAAGCGGAGGAAAAGAAACUAACAAGGAUUCCCCUAGUAACUGCGAGUGAAGCGGGAAAAGCUCAAAUUUGAAAUCUGGUAGUCUUUGGCUGCCCGAGUUGUAAUCUAGAGAAGCAUUAUCUGCGCUGGACUGUGUAUAAGUGUCCUGGAAUAGACCAUCAUAGAGGGUGACAAUCCCGUCUUUGACACAGACUCCCAGUGCUUUGUGAUGUGCUCUCAAAGAGUCGAGUUGUUUGGGAAUGCAGCUCUAAAUGGGUGGUAAGUUCCAUCUAAAGCUAAAUAUUGGCGAGAGACCGAUAGCGAACAAGUACCGUGAGGGAAAGAUGAAAAGAACUUUGUAAAGAGAGUUAAACAGUACGUGAAAUUGCUGAAAGGGAAACGCUUGAAGUCAGUCGCGUUGGCUGGGGAUCAACCAUUGCUUUUGCUUGGCUUACUUCCCAGUUGACGGGUCAGCAUCAGUUUUGACCAGUGGAUAAAGGCUAGGGGAAUGUGGCACCUCCGGGUGUG